GCGUGGCUCAGGGGCAGAGCGGACAUCUGCCUUGCGCGCUGGAAGGCCCAGGUUAAAUCCCUGGUAAAAUCC
Podarcis lilfordi (Lilford's wall lizard) is the source of this 72-nucleotide non-coding RNA. Lineage: Eukaryota; Metazoa; Chordata; Lepidosauria; Squamata; Lacertidae. The record is from the annotation of a GenBank genome assembly.